GAAUAUGAGGGCUAUCUGGCUGCAACACUGGUCACAAAUUGAUUGCCAGGGUUGAUUCAGCUGAUCCUGUUGUGGAGGUGGAUGUCCCCUUCCUCUCUCACUGCUCCAUAUGAGUUCCUCCCAAAGUUGUGUGCUCUGUUGAAGAGGAUGACUAUUCCCACAAUAGAAGGAUUAUUUUUCAGCCAGGGGAUAUGAGUGGCUGUGUUCCCAUGGUAGAACCUUCAAACAAGCUCUCAAGGUUCAUUUGUAAGAGAAUGUAGAGUAGACAAGCAUCAGGACUCCAUUACCAAUCAAAAUGAGGUGAUGUAUAUGGAAUCUGCUUUUCUUU
This 328-nucleotide small nuclear RNA is filed under the name Carlito syrichta (Philippine tarsier). RNAcentral describes it as "7SK RNA (ENSTSYG00000021812.2)". It matches the Rfam family "7SK RNA". Rfam says of the family: 7SK was discovered as an abundant small nuclear RNA in the mid-70s but a possible function has only recently been suggested. Two independent studies have found that 7SK RNA binds the CDK9/cyclin T complex (known as elongation factor P-TEFb). Lineage: Eukaryota; Metazoa; Chordata; Mammalia; Primates; Tarsiidae. The record is from Rfam by way of RNAcentral.